This 194-nucleotide ribosomal RNA is filed under the name uncultured bacterium. RNAcentral describes it as "partial 16S ribosomal RNA". It matches the Rfam family "Bacterial small subunit ribosomal RNA", at positions 337 to 525 of the family's 1533-position model. The record is from RNAcentral.
UCCUACGGGAGGCAGCAGUGGGGAAUAUUGCACAAUGGGCGCAAGCCUGAUGCAGCCAUGCCGCGUGUAUGAAGAAGGCCUUCGGGUUGUAAAGUACUUCAGCGGGGAGGAAGGCGAUAAGGUUAAUAACCUGUCGAUUGACGUUACCCGCAGAAGAAGCACCGGCUAACUCCGUGCCAGCAGCCGCGGUAAUA